UGGCCUGGUGCUCCCAAAGCCUGACCCACCAGGUGGGAAUGGGGAUGGCAAUGAAGCCAGUUUAAGGCAAGGAAGAUGGCCUGCAGAAGGUACUGGAACAUUCAGAGGGUGACUUUUGGUGGCUUCAGCAUCACCCCUGGCUCCACAGUCUGGUAGAGUUAUGGCAUCUUCUCUAGAUCCACCAAAGUGUCUUGGGCAAGCUACACAAAGACAUCCAGCGUCAGCAGCUAAGAGUUGGUCCAGAUGUUGGUUUGUGUGGGAUGAUUCUGUAGAAAGAUCCAGCUUUUAGGGAAGUAAGAACUAGCUGCUGGAACAGUUCCCUCACCCUCGGGCUCCCCAGUUGAAAGAGGCUAAUGUGGGGUUUUUUGGACACAACUAUUUGGUAGGUCCUGAAUUCCUGAUUGCCUUUUAAAAAAUCUGAAUCCUUAUCUACAACUGCAAUCGAAGUUCUGUUCUAGGGACUAAUGUUCCAGAAACAUGGUUUCCCAGGGUUCAAGUUAAUAUUACUGUAUUUUGUAAAGGUGGAUCUGAGGAGUUCCUAUUGUGGCACAGCAGAAACAAAUCCGACUAGUAUCCAUGAGGAUGCAUGUUUGAUCCCUGGCCUCGCUCAGUGGGUUAAGGAUCUGGCAUUGCUGUGAGCUGUGGUGUAGGUCACAGACGUUGCUUGGAUCUAGCGUUGCUGUGGCUGUGGCAUAGGCCAGCCACUGCCGCUCUGAUCCAGCCCCCAGCCUGGGAACUUCAUGUGCCGUGGGUGCAGCCCUAAAAAAAAAAAAAAAAAAAAAAAAAAAAAAGAUGGAUCUGACUAUAAUCAAGAAGGCGUUUCCCCAUGAGCAGCUGUUCCACCUGUGUUCUCUGAGGUCCACACUGGCUGUCCUUGCCUGUAGGACAUUUUGCUCUAUUGCAUUUUUUCUGCAUGUGGAAGUACUAUAACGGCUAAGUGACAUUUCUGCCUCUCACCAUCCUUAUUUCCUUUGUGGGAACUUCCUUUCUCUUUUCUAUGUGUUUCCAGGGGGCUGCCAAUCAGGCCGCGCUGUCCUCCAGUGCAGACCCGGACACCUGACCCAAGCUGGGCCAAAUCUAGUGCUACACCCCCCUUGCAUCUGCGCUUGCUCCAGGGGCUGCCAGAGUUGACAUCUCCUCUGUCCUCUGAUUGCAUUGAGAUGGAAAUUGCAGGUCACCAAGAGACAGACUAAUCAGAGUGUUUUGCUCUUUCUCCAUCUCUCCAAAAUCACAAUGCAAGAUUUUGCUCCUAUUGUUCCUAUUCCUACAUGAAGGUGGAUUCUUCAGUUGCUCUGAUGAGCACAGAUCCCUGGAGCCGGUAUGGUUUACCCAGUGACAGGGUCAGAUAACAAAACGUCUGCAAACAUGACCAGAAAACCACUUCAAAAGAUUGGAAUGUUAUGACCUUUUUAAUGCCUUAGGGCAGAAACAAGUCCUGUUUGUUCAUUUGUUUAUUAUCUUAUUUUAUCUUAUUUGGGACACCUAUAGGGCUUUUCACUGAUCUUUCAUAGAAACAGACAUUGGUAGGAGUUCCCAUUGUGGCUCAGGGGGUUAAGAGCCUACCAUAGUGGGCAUCCAUGAGGAUGCAGGUUUGUUCCCUGCCCUUGUUCAGAGGAUUAAGGAUCCGACGUUGCCGCAAGCUGUGGUGUGGGUCACAGCUGCAGCUCUGAUUCGAUCCCUGGCCUGGGAACUUCCGUAUGCCACAUGUGUAGCCAUUAAAAAGGGGGAAAAAGAAUAAAGAAAGAAAAAAAGAAACUGACA
RNAcentral lists this long non-coding RNA (1761 nucleotides) under Sus scrofa (pig). RNAcentral's name for it is "lncRNA (ENSSSCG00035009625.1)". The record is from RNAcentral. Lineage: Eukaryota; Metazoa; Chordata; Mammalia; Artiodactyla; Suidae.